RNAcentral lists this non-coding RNA (45 nucleotides) under Schistosoma margrebowiei. Lineage: Eukaryota; Metazoa; Platyhelminthes; Trematoda; Strigeidida; Schistosomatidae. The record is from RNAcentral.
ACCUAGUUGAUGAGUCCAAAAUAGGAUUAAACGCACGUCUUACAU